Molecule: ribosomal RNA, 483 nt
Filed under: uncultured bacterium
Lineage: Bacteria
Description: partial 16S ribosomal RNA
Rfam family: Bacterial small subunit ribosomal RNA
Source: RNAcentral
GACGAACGCUGGCGGCGUGCUUAACACAUGCAAGUCGAACGAUGAAGCUAGAGCUUGCUCUGGUGGAUUAGUGGCGAACGGGUGAGUAACACGUGAGUAACCUGCCCCGAACUCUGGGAUAACUGCUGGAAACGGUAGCUAAUACCGGAUAUGACCAAUGAAGGCAUCUUCUGUUGGUGGAAAGAAUUUCGGUUCGGGAUGGACUCGCGGCCUAUCAGCUUGUUGGUGAGGUAACGGCUCAGCAAGGCGACGACGGGUAGCCGGCCUGAGAGGGUGAUCGGCCACACAGGGACUGAGACACGGCCCAGACUCCUACGGGAGGCAGCAGUGGGGAAUAUUGCACAGUCGGCGCAAGCCUGGUGCAGCACCGCCGCGUGAGGGACGACGGCCUUCGGGUUGUAACCUCUUUUAGUAGGGAAGAAGCGAAAGUGACGGUACCUGCAGAAAAAGCACCGGCUAACUACGUGCCAGCAGCCGCCGUAA